UCAUCGCUCUACGCUCUCCAAACCAGCCGUGACGCACUUCCGGAAAGCCGCCGUUCCCGUUCAUACGUCAUUCUCAUUCCAUUUUCAUCGAUUUCACGCUCCGAAUUUCGUCUCCAUUUUCCUCAAAUUGAAUCGGGGCUGAUAGUGCAAAUUCCAGCAGAACCUAUGUCUCUUGACGACAAACUAUCCUCACCUCACAGGAGGUCACAGACGACUGUGUUUCCAGUCUCACCGUCGUAUAAAAAAUUAUAUUCCCGAGGCGAUGAAUCAGGGAGCUGCUUGGCAAUGCUUCAACGCCACCGGUUCCUUCUAACUUCUAUGGGCUUGCUAGCUAUUCUUUGCAUCAUCUAUCUCUACUUCGCCAUCACUCUUGGAGACAGCUCCUGCUCCGGGUUGACGGGCACUGAGAAAGCAACUUGUCUUUUGAAACGCGGAGCUUCUCUGACAAAAGGGAAAUUCGGGAAAUUGAAGUUUUGAAGUUCUAGCAUGGUGAUGGCUGUCUAAUCUUGUGGAUUCACUUACCGUUUUCUCUCCCCCCAUUUUUUUUGUUUUGUUUUUUCUUUUUUAAAAUUCUUUGAAAGGCUUACAGAGUUACAGCUCGAUGUAGUACUCCCAAAUCAUUUUGGGUUAUCUGAGGCUUGUUAAGUUUGGUAGUUUUGGUUGUACUUGUACAUGUUAGUGCAUGGAGCCAUGGACACUGUUUCUGACGCAUCUGUAUUUCGGUGCUAUUGAAGCAAAAUUUUCUUGACCAUGUUGA
This is a long non-coding RNA of Ipomoea nil (Japanese morning glory), 757 nucleotides long. RefSeq lists it as uncharacterized. NCBI's taxonomy places the organism in Eukaryota, Viridiplantae, Streptophyta, Magnoliopsida, Solanales, Convolvulaceae. The record is from RefSeq and is a predicted model, not a curated record. The transcript has 2 exons.